RNAcentral lists this long non-coding RNA (4026 nucleotides) under Sus scrofa (pig). RNAcentral's name for it is "lncRNA (ENSSSCG00040045169.1)". Lineage: Eukaryota; Metazoa; Chordata; Mammalia; Artiodactyla; Suidae. The record is from RNAcentral.
UAGUGCAAGACCUAGCUUCAUGUCAGAAAAUGAGAAAAUGCUUUCACAUUCUCCAAAUAAGUUUUGGGUAACGGGUAGCUUCUUAAACUAGAUACAAAAGGUUAUAUCACCCUCUACCUAUGUUUCUCUUCCUUUUGAGUAUAAACUCAUAUUUUUAACAGAAAAAUACUUGAACUUACUUGUAUGCUUGUGUUCAAUCUAUGCACAUCCACAUGUCCUUUAAUUCCAUAUUAAAUAUUUUAUUUUCUGAAUUUGCAUUGAUUUUGAUACAGAAUUAAGCUAAUGUACAUGUCAGUUCUUAUUAGACUUGAUCAUAUCUGAAAAAAGGAGACAUCUUUGUAACUCUUCAGAAAACCAUGGAAGAUAAAUCAUGUUCACUUAGAAUCAACCAAUGUGUCAUGUAACAAUGUCAUAUAACAUCAAAGGAUUGCUUGAUAAGGAUUAAGACUUAAAAGGAAGUAUAUUUAAAAAUUUUCAAAUUUUCUGAAAAGAAAGGGAUUGAGAAAACUAAAGCUAGUUUCCUUUACAUUCUUAAGUCUGAUAAAAUGUGGAAACAUAUUUCCAAAUAACUUAAGUUCACACUGUUACAAUCAUUUAAAUAUGUCUGUAAAAUCAUCUAAAAUUGGCAAUCACGUGUAUGUCAAAAUUUUAAUCUUCCUCUACUAAAGAAUGAACUAAAAGCCGUGUCUUUCUCUUUAUAGUCCACAAAUAUCAUUAAAAGUUUUAUUUUGAAGAAGCUUCUACAUUCUUUGAGUUUUUCUCUUUCUCUUUCUUUUUGUUUUUUUUUCCUCAGGCUCAAAUUGAAAAUGGUAAGAAUGAAAGGAGACAAUGGAAAAAAAUAAAGAAAAAAUUGGGUGUGUUGAAACAGGAAGAAAGAAUAUGAAUUCCAGAAAAUAGAAUAAGGGAGGUAAAGAGAGUGGAGAGAAUGCCAAAUGAUACUUUUAGGAAGAGGCUGAAACCAAAUUAGUGUUGCUGAAAGAAGAGAUUAAAGUAUCUUUAGUGAAAAAAUUAAUUUCUAAAGAUACAUCUUUCCCCUGAUAUCAUAAGAAAUAUCUUAUGAAAAUGUUUACUGUAUACAAAUUAAGAAACUUCCAUCAGUGUGAGGGUGGGUAUAAUUAAAUCUGAAGAGUAGAGAGUACAUGGGAAUAUUGCAGAAAACAUAAAUGGUAACUAUGCUAGAAUUGUUAAAUGGAAGUGGUUUAUUAAAACUAAAUGUGAAAGAAAUCUUCCUAGAAAGGGUAGUGGAUGAGUGCUAUAAUUAAUAUAUUCUUAAGGAUAAGCUUCCCCUGUCUUCAGUUCCCUCCUACUUGUAGGAAUUCUGUGCUGUUAAAAAGUACCAAGCAGAUGUAUUGAUAUAGUUCUCUAUCUUUUGAAUCUGUCUGUCAAAACAAUUCUUGUACAAAGAAAACACCUGUCUUCAUUCUACAUGGAUAUAGUCAAAGAAAGUAGAAUUAAUACUAAAAGUAAAACAUGAUUGUCCCAACAUGAUGUCAUUAGUUAAACUAAUUUAGCAGUAAGUGGAACCCACCUAUUACAUAGAUAUAUCUUCUUUAAAGAUGUCAUCUUUAAAAAUGGCUGCCUCGAUGCGUAGAAAUCUAUAAGAACCCCAUUCUAGCCUGAAAAUUGUAGAUGGAUAUUUUAACAAAACUUUUAUUUUAAAAAAUUCCAGGCAAUGUAUGUAUAGUUUUGUGAUUAUUGCUCCUUGAAAAACAAAAUUAUGAAGUGAAAAAGCUUUGAGUUAUUUUUCAACUCCUAACAUGCAGUAUUGUAAUGAAUGGAUUUCCUUUUAACACAUAAUAGAAUCUGACAGUGGAGGAAAUAAAUGUCAAAAUGUAUUUGUCUCUUAAGUGUCUGUAAUUAUGAUGCACCCAAUGUUUGUAACUUAAAACAAUGUUUUUAGUAGCUGAAAUGCUAAAGAAAAGUAAAGCAAAGGUUGACUACUUUUAUAAUGAGUUAGCCAGAAUAUAUACUGGACCAACUUUCUAUUAGGAAAUAGUCAUAUUUACUCUAGUUACUUCAAAAAACUUUCCUUAUAUUCUCUGAAGAAAUCUGUAUCUUGAUAAUUAAUCUAAAAAUAAUGACCAAAAACUAUCUUGAUGCAUAGAGUGCAAAUAAUUUUUUUGGGGGGCGUGAGGAGAGUGGGGAAGGGAGGGCAAAAUAAUCCUAACUAACCAAACGGAAGCAUAGAGUGAUGCUUUUAUCCUCUUUCUUCUGUGGAUUUGCUUUACCUCUUCAUAUGGUGUGUCAUGCUCCAAAUUUUACUGUAAAAUAACCCAUUGACUAAGAAGCAUAAGAAUAAAAUUGCAGCAUGGCAAUAACAAAUAUAACAGUCUAUAGGCCUUGUGGGGGGGCAUUCUGAAGAUGUUUUAUUUUGGAAGGAGAUAUUGGAGAAAAAAAGUUGUAUUUAAACUUUAAGUACAAAAACUUGAAAAUAUCUCUAAAUAUUCUUAAAGUUACUUUUCAUACUAAUUCACAUCUGUGCCAAUGAGUAUAUUUAAGCUCAUUUGCUUUUGAAGAGUGUUGUGCUUGCAAUAAUAUUUAGUCACUGUUCUCCCUAUUCUGUGCUGUCUCAUUUGAACAAAAUGUUAAUCUCGCCAACAACAUCUGAACCCUCUAUACUGUAGAAAAGGGAAUGAAGGCUUCAGAAUAUUUUGCAACACAGAACGAGUAAGCUUAGACCUUCAAAAUUUAUAUGCUUUUUUCUAUUAGAAGUUUUUCUACUAUAAGCUACCUUCACAUUUUAGAUCUAUAUUUUUUCCUCAUAAAUGAUUUGGUGGCCUCCCUUUUCCCCCCUGGCAUAACUACAAGGCCAAGUUAGAAAGUAUGUAUUAUUUAUUGCUCUGUUCUGAAUUCAGUGAUACCGAAAUAUAAUUUCUUUCCCUCUUUCAUCCUAUUGAUUUAGGCUAUCUCUAUACAAACCCAAUUAUUUUGACUGAGCUUCCUGACUAAACUAAUUGAUGAAACUGACUAGGAACUAAAUAGCAAUCAAACUAUUAAAUAGUAGCCACUCAGAUCUGGUAAAACAGUAAUAAAAACUGAUCUUGUAUAAAAAGCCUAACAUUGAAUUUUAUGGAAAAAACAACAUAGAUCCCUGAAAGGCUGAUGUGUCAUACCACCUAUCUACACUCUGUUGACUAAAUUGAAUGAACUUUUGCCAUUGUGCCUAUCAUAACAGGCAAAUGAAAUAUGUUUGGUAAUACUUGUAUAUUUUUAUCAUAGUAUAGCUUUAGAAUUUAAAACACCAUUAGAAUAUAAAUAAAUACAUGCUCUGAAUUUAUUCUUGUUCCGACAAAUGUUACUUUAUCGAAAGUGAGUUGCAAUUUAUUAUUUUUCCUUAUUGACCUUAUCAGCUGAAUUAUUUUUCUCAUUUUUUGUAAAAUAUUUUUAAAAAUUAAAAUGUAUUUCAAAGUCAAAAUCAAGACUCUCUCAAUACAGAGUACACAGUAUAAGUCAUUGCAGUGAUAAAAUGGACAACAGCAUUUAGUGUGCUUUUAAAUAUGACUAUAAUACCUUUCUUAUGCAGUCACAUCAACUUGGUUUCAGACUGCAAUUAGAUGUCCAAUUAUGGUUAAAAAAUGCAAUGGCUUGAUUAAAUAAAUGGGCCCACUCAUUUGUUGCUGAUUUCCCAUUAGGUCAUAUUCUUCUAAGUAUCAUCAAAGCAAAAGGCUAAUGCUUGAGUUGGUAAAGAUGGUGUUACUUAAUAUUGCUCAGUAACUCUGCCAGUGAUACUUGUUGAAUAAUGACGUAUUAUCUACAUUUGGGAUUUCUCAAAUAUUCCAAAGUAGUUGUAAAUAUAUAACACUUAUCAAAAGUAUCUUUUCCUCGGAAACAGUGAAAAGUAAUUUCAAUGGAUAUAUUCUUACUGUGGUGCCAUCUGUUUAAUCUUAUUUUUCUCAGAAAUAAGCUUGAACAUAAUCACACAUAUAUAGGAAGGUUUCCAUCUACACGAGACUAUUAUGACUAUGUCCUUUAUAUAAGACUUGUUGAGAAAGUUACCUUUUCAUAUGCGAUUCCUUCUAACUUUUU